This 406-nucleotide ribosomal RNA is filed under the name uncultured bacterium. Its description in RNAcentral is "partial 16S ribosomal RNA". It matches the Rfam family "Bacterial small subunit ribosomal RNA", at positions 30 to 525 of the family's 1533-position model. The record is from RNAcentral.
AUUGAACGCUGGCGGCAGGCCUAACACAUGCAAGUCGAACGAGUGGCGGACGGGUGGGUAAGGGCUGGGAACCUGCCUGAUGGAGGGGGAUAACUACUGGAACCGGUAGCUAAUACCGCAUACCAUCAGAUGUGCUCAGCUGGGAUUAGCUUGUCGGUGGGGUAACUGCUCACCGAGGCGACGAUCCCUAGCUGGUCUGAGAGGAUGACCAGCCACACUGGAACUGAGACACGGCCCAGACUCCUACGGGAGGCAGCAGUGGGGAAUAUUGCACAAUGGGCGAAAGCCUGAUGCAGCCAUGCCGCGUGUAUGAAGAAGGCUUUCGGGUUGUAAAGUACUUUCAGCGGGGAGGCGUUACCUGCAGAAGAAGCACCGGCUAACUCCGUGCCAGCAGCCGCGGUAAUUA